CAACAGGUGAACAUCUUCAGAUAGUUUCAGAUUCAGUUCAGGCGCCUGACACCGCGGAUGGUCGUCGGCCAUCUCGGACCACGGCGCGUUUCUGCGCCGCCGCCGAGGAUCAUGUGGUGCUUUUCUAUAUGAUAAUGCAUACUCAUCAUUUGAUGGCGAGGUAUAUUGAUUGGAUUUGCUCCGGUCGUCAUCACUUCAAAUGUUCAGAAAGUAUGUUAUACGUCUCUAAACUCCUUACGCCUAGUGUUACCUAAUCCCCGUACUGGAGUAACUCCCUUCGCUCAAUUCUCAAACAAGCUGAUGGGGAUUUUGGUCUAUAAGCCAUUGAAGAUCGAUCAUGACUUUGGAAGAAUAGUUUUAGCUGCAAGGUGAGAGUUCAACCCUCUAGAUACUGCGGAAAUACUUUGUUUUAUCAGGUUUUUUAGGUGUGUUGGUCUCUUUCAAAAAGGAGCCAGCUUAGGAGGCCCAGCUGCACCUCCACAACAGUAGGACCAUAGGAGUUCAAUCAGCCCCACCUCUCUGAUUCACCACAUCUUUGUAGAGCUAUGCAUUGCUUGCACAGAUAAAUUUAGUCGCAAAGCUCUUGAUAGCUCUUGUUUUGUAAUACAUAUACAAACAAAAAGGGAUUUUAGACAUCUGCCAAUGUCUAGAAAUGAAUUUUCUUGACUUGAACACUAACAACCCAGAAACAAUAUUUGGGUUUGAAGUUCACUAUUUCAAAGAUCAUUUUCUUCACAAAUUGUGUUGCGCCAUCAUAUGCUUUUGUUUAAGUUUAGGUUGAGUACUAGUUAUUACUACACAUGCUGGACCCUUUAAGAAUGGUGUGGAAAGAGGUGGAAACUUGGAACUCGAAA
Long non-coding RNA from Brachypodium distachyon (stiff brome), 854 nucleotides. RefSeq lists it as uncharacterized. Lineage: Eukaryota; Viridiplantae; Streptophyta; Magnoliopsida; Poales; Poaceae. The record is from RefSeq and is a predicted model, not a curated record. The transcript is spliced from 2 exons.